RNAcentral lists this ribosomal RNA (253 nucleotides) under uncultured bacterium. Its description in RNAcentral is "partial 16S ribosomal RNA". It matches the Rfam family "Bacterial small subunit ribosomal RNA", at positions 524 to 776 of the family's 1533-position model. The record is from RNAcentral.
GACGGAGGGUGCUAGCGUUUUUCGGAAUUACUGGGCGUAAAGGGCGCGUAGGCGGCCAUUUAAGUCGGAUGUGAAAGCCCGGGGCUCAACCCGGGAACGGCGGUUGAGACUGUCUGUCUUGAGUUCGGGAGAGGAGGGUGGAAUUGCCAGUGUAGAGGUGAAAUUCGUAGAGAUUGGGAAGAACACCGGUGGCGAAGGCGGCUCACUGGACCGACACUGACGCUGAGGCGCGAAAGCGUGGGGAGCAAACAGG